UUCGUGGUCGGUGGUACAGGUGGUGCAUGGCUGUCGUCAGCUCGUGUCGUGAGAUGUUGGGUUAAGUCCCGCAACGAGCGCAACCCUUGUCUUAUGUUGCCAGCACGUGAUGGUGGGGACUCGUAAGAGACUGCCGGGGUCAACUCGGAGGAAGGUGGGGACGACGUCAAGUCAUCAUGCCCCUUAUGUCCAGGGCUUCACACAUGCUACAAUGGCCAGUACAGAGGGCUGCGAGACCGUGAGGUGGAGCGAAUCCCUUAAAGCUGGUCUCAGUUCGGAUCGGGGUCUGCAACUCGACCCCGUGAAGUCGGAGUCGCUAGUAAUCGCAGAUCAGCAACGCUGCGGUGAAUACGUUCCCGGGCCUU
Molecule: ribosomal RNA, 365 nt
Filed under: uncultured Rhodococcus sp.
Lineage: Bacteria; Bacillati; Actinomycetota; Actinomycetes; Mycobacteriales; Nocardiaceae
Description: bacterial SSU rRNA
Rfam family: Bacterial small subunit ribosomal RNA
Source: RNAcentral